UAGUCACACUCUGCUGGCUAGUGAACUAAGGUCCGUGCACUCGGGACACUCCCUACAGAACUCAGGCCUCUGCAAUGGGUGGUGUGUGUGUGUGUGUGUGUGUGUGUGUGUGUGUGUGUGUGUGUCUGCACAGGAGCCCCGCACAGGAACCCAUGCACAGGAACCCCGUGUACUGCAGCACCCGGGAAGAACACAUCUGCAUUGUUCACCUGCUUUAUAGUAAAACCUGGCCGGAACCUGGAUUUGAAGCCCUGCCUUCUGAACUCAGCAGCACCGCCUGGCUGUGAGACCUAGGUGGCUCGCAUCCCUCCUCUGUCAUUUACUGAGCCACAAGCCUGAUCGUCAUCUGUAGAAGAGAAAGGACAACGGCAGGGUCUGCCACCUUUUGCCUGUCUCCCGGCAUAUGGCAGAUGCCCAACAAGAGUCGGCUGGUACUUCUUGAUAGCCAACUGAGCUGGGGAUGGAACUUAGGACCUUGUGUGUGUUGGCUGGCCCUCACGUCUACGGGUUCCAUGUGUAUGGGUCCAGACAAACGCUAACAGAAGAGACCACGCAGUCUGCUGCUCACACGCAGUCCCCGUGUGUCAUAGUUUCCUGACCAAUGCAGCCGAACAAUCAGAUUCAGCAUUUGCACCGUAUUAGGCAUCUUAAGUGGAGACAUUGCGAAGCACAUGGGAGGAGAAGCGGAGGCUAAAUGUAAACCUGGUCCGCACAUCUGCAGCUGGAACAUCUGCGGGGGAAGGGGGUGGUCCUGGAGACAAUAGCACAGAUGCUGGGGAUGGCUGUAAACCCGGCCACACAAACCAACAACAUAGACACCAGUUUCUCCUUUCCCCAUCACGAACACCCAAUCCAUCCAGAAGUCCCGUCCACUCUUCCUUCAGAUGUAGUCCCAAUCGGCGCACGCCUCAUCACCUCGGCUGACGAAACUCAAAGGGAACUUACUGUGCCUGUCUUUUGUCAGGGCCAAAAGAGGCUCCCAACGGGCUCGCCUCUGUUCUUGUCCUCCACGCAGUAGCCAGAACCACCCUCUGUACUUUAAACCCCAGUGGCUCCCCAGUGUUAGUGCGGGAUCACUCAAACUCCCCGUGAUGGCUUGGCCUGCCGGUCUCCUUCAGCGUCACAGGUCAGGUCCCUUUCUGACCCUCAAAUGCACCCAGCACCUUGCUGCUUCUGUAUCCUCAAAUAUGUUAUUGCUUCUCACAGAUCUCCACCUAUCAGGGACCUUGACCGAUGGCGCAAACCGGUCAUGUAUACCUUGUCUCCAAGAACUUUUGCAAACAAAAACAAGCAAAAAACCCCCAACUGAGAGCUGUUGCAUAAAAUAUGCUCUUUGUUCCUACCAUGGCAAAUCCUUCCUAAUGACAAAGUGGAAAAGUCUGUGCUAAACGUAUUUAGUAAAAUAGAACAACUGAAUUCAAUUAUUACUGCGUAUGUCUGAGCGCUCUGGGUUUUUGUCAGUGAAAACCAAAUGAAUAAUAAAAUGGGGGCUUGCAUUAUUUAUACCAUAGCAUAAGUUCAUUGUGCGGAAGCACUUUUAUUUAAGGGAAAUCAAGAAUACGAGCACCAUCAAAUCAUUCAUAUUCUCCUAAGGUGGGUUAGAAAGAAGUUUUUAAAACGUUCUUGUCUCAGUGGGUACAGAAUUUAUGUACCCUGUCACUGAAAACAUAAUGAACGCAAGUUCGAAGUCAAAAUGACUUCAUGUGUGCUUUCAAAAAAGUUACUUUUCUCAAGUAUUCAAAAUUAUUUAUAAUGACAUCAACGCAUAUUCAAAUGAGUUGUUUGAAAUUUUACAAAAAUUAUUUAAGUAGUUGUUGAAAAAACUAUUUGGAAUUCAACUAAAUUAUGUAAAAUAAUAAAUAAUAAAUAAAAUAAAAAACAUU
Molecule: long non-coding RNA, 1883 nt
Organism: Arvicola amphibius (Eurasian water vole)
Lineage: Eukaryota; Metazoa; Chordata; Mammalia; Rodentia; Cricetidae
Exons: 3
Source: RefSeq, a predicted model, not a curated record